CCCGGGCCGCGGGGCGGGGGGCGGGGGGCGGCGGCACAGCCGGGCUCGGGCUCGGGCUCGGGCUCGGAGCGGAGCCCUGGCCGCCGCGGGGCGUGGCCUCGGAGCCUGUCGGAGGCGUGGAGCGUGCGCUCAGGAGCCACCUGGAGGGGGCGGCCGGGAGGCGGGCAGGCACGGCGCGGGCCAGUGGCGCAAUGGAGAACGCGUCUGACUACGGAUCAGAAGAUUCCAGCCAUCUGGACUCCUUCCGCCAGCCGCCUCCCCAUAUAUAGACCCGAGAGACCCGGGACCGGCUACUCCUGGGAUCUCGGCAAGCAGGACUCGGGGUCCCAAGUGGCCAGGUGAGAGCCCCGCCGGCCCCUCUGAAUGGCCAGCCUCGAGUUCUCCUGCGGGUGCUGAGGAGGGCGAGCCACGAAGGAGGACCCAAAGCCUCCCCCCGUAGGGCCGCUCACUGGUUCUGGGAGCCCUCCCAUCCCGGGGAAGGCCUGACUCCCACUUAGAUCCCGGCUGGAGGGCUGGGGCUGGGGGAGGGGGAGCCCCGAGACGCCCUCCCCAGUCUCAGGCAGCUUCGGGUCUGGGGGGUCUCCCUGUAGGAGGAUGGGGCUGAUCUCGGACCUUCCCUGCCUCUUGUCUGGCUGUCUGCUGCUCAGCACUCUUGGGGAAGGCGCUGUGGCCAACAAGACGAGCACCCGGAGCAGGUGCCCUCCCGACUACGUCUACAUCAGUGGCUGGUGCUAUGUCGCCUUUGGGGACCUCCUCAGCUGGUCAGAAGCUUACCUCGAAUGCGCGAGGCUGACAGAAGGCGCUUCCCUGGCGACCAUUAGAAAUGAGCAGGACCAGCAGAUCUUGGGCCACCUGCUGGCCAGCACCACGGCCAGGAAGCAGGCCUGGAUCGGCCUCCGAAGAUCCAACGGUUAUCGCUGGGUGUGGGUCGACGGGAGCAGAUUCAGGUUGCAGCCCUUCGAUCUCCUGCCCUGGUCCGCAGGGUACGACUGCGCCGUGCUGGACACCAGCGGAGACUCACCAACUUGGGUGGCAGAGUCCUGCAGCAAUAAAAACUCCUUCAUCUGUCAAAUGCCCACCUAGAAAAGCUGAGUGGAGCCUGAGACUCAAUGGCCAGGGAACUAAAGUCUUCCCCGAGCUUCUGGCUACUGAGGCACAGUGUGUCUGCUUUUUCUCCAUUAAAACCUUCGUUUUUCCUCCUGGAGGUGUUUGUAUGGGCAGACUCUCCAGGUCUUUCAUUUCUUUCUUUCAUCCCAAGUCCCCAGUGAAAUUCUCUGUGAUCCAAUAA
This 1288-nucleotide long non-coding RNA is filed under the name Monodelphis domestica (gray short-tailed opossum). RNAcentral describes it as "lncRNA (ENSMODG00000040440.1)". Lineage: Eukaryota; Metazoa; Chordata; Mammalia; Didelphimorphia; Didelphidae. The record is from RNAcentral.